GUGGGUGUAGCUCAGAGGUAGAGUACAUGCUUAGCAUGCACGAGGCUCUGGGUUCAAUCCCCAGCAUCCAAA
Molecule: transfer RNA, 72 nt
Filed under: Marmota marmota marmota (Alpine marmot)
Lineage: Eukaryota; Metazoa; Chordata; Mammalia; Rodentia; Sciuridae
Also listed under: 1 other name
Rfam family: tRNA
About the family: Transfer RNA (tRNA) molecules are approximately 80 nucleotides in length. Their secondary structure includes four short double-helical elements and three loops (D, anti-codon, and T loops). Further hydrogen bonds mediate the characteristic L-shaped molecular structure. tRNAs have two regions of fundamental functional importance: the anti-codon, which is responsible for specific mRNA codon recognition, and the 3' end, to which the tRNAs corresponding amino acid is attached (by aminoacyl-tRNA synthetases). tRNAs cope with the degeneracy of the genetic code in two manners: having more than one tRNA (with a specific anti-codon) for a particular amino acid; and 'wobble' base-pairing, i.e. permitting non-standard base-pairing at the 3rd anti-codon position.
Source: Rfam by way of RNAcentral